This 525-nucleotide ribosomal RNA is filed under the name Aspergillus pseudoglaucus. RNAcentral describes it as "eukaryotic LSU rRNA". The stretch from base 144 to 298 matches the Rfam family "5.8S ribosomal RNA". Lineage: Eukaryota; Fungi; Ascomycota; Eurotiomycetes; Eurotiales; Aspergillaceae. The record is from RNAcentral.
UACGAGUGCGGGCCUCUGGGUCAACCUCCCAUCCGUGUCUAUCUGUACCCUGGUUGCUUCGGCGUGGCCACGGCCCGCCGAAGACUAACAUUUGAACACUGUCUGAAGUUUGCAGUCUGAGUUUUUAGUUAAACAAUAAUUAAAACUUUCAACAACGGAUCUCUUGGCUUCCGGCAUCGAUGAAGAACGCAGCGAAAUGCGAUAAUUAAUGUGAAUUGCAGAAUUCAGUGAAUCAUCGAGUCUUUGAACGCACAUUGCGCCCCCUGGUAUUCCGGGGGGCAUGCCUGUCCGAGCGUCAUUGCUGCCCUCAAGCACGGCUUGUGUGUUGGGCUUCCGUCCCUGGUAACGGGGACGGGCCCAAAAGGCAGUGGCGGCACCAUGUCUGGUCCUCGAGCGUAUGGGGCUUUGUCACCCGCUCCCGUAGGUCCAGCUGGCAGCUAGCCUCGCAACCAAUCUUUUUAACCAGGUUGACCUCGGAUCAGGUAGGGAUACCCGCUGAACUUAAGCAUAUUCAAUAAGCGGCAG